Pelobates cultripes (western spadefoot toad) is the source of this 273-nucleotide non-coding RNA. The record is from the annotation of a GenBank genome assembly. NCBI's taxonomy places the organism in Eukaryota, Metazoa, Chordata, Amphibia, Anura, Pelobatidae.
GUUACUAAAGGAUUCUGGGUGGGCAUAUGCAAAUUUGUUCAACAAAGAAUCAUAUUUUUGCCUAAUUCCAUUUAAAAUAUAUAUCUACACUUUCUCUUCCUCCCGAAUUUCAAAAUACAUUGCAACCCCACCCGCAUUGUUACCACAAUGUUUAGGUCAAGUUGUGCUCUAGACUCUAGAUACAGUUAGAGCUCGGAUUUGUUAUAGAUUUAUUUUAUUCACAGCUACGUAAGCGCCAUAUGAAGGAUUUGGAUAUGCGAAUCCUAUCUCCAG